CUUUUAGUGUAAGCAUGUCCUACUUAAUAUUUGGGACAUGCUUAUACUAAAA
RNAcentral lists this microRNA precursor (52 nucleotides) under Otolemur garnettii (small-eared galago). RNAcentral describes it as "mir-1302 microRNA precursor family". It matches the Rfam family "mir-1302 microRNA precursor family". Lineage: Eukaryota; Metazoa; Chordata; Mammalia; Primates; Galagidae. The record is from Rfam by way of RNAcentral.